Podarcis lilfordi (Lilford's wall lizard) is the source of this 68-nucleotide non-coding RNA. NCBI's taxonomy places the organism in Eukaryota, Metazoa, Chordata, Lepidosauria, Squamata, Lacertidae. The record is from the annotation of a GenBank genome assembly.
GAUAGCUCUGUGGUAGAGCAUCUGCUUUGCAUGCAAAAGGCUUUAAGGUUAAAUCCCAGGCAUCUCCA